Molecule: unclassified non-coding RNA, 340 nt
Filed under: Hevea brasiliensis (rubber tree)
Lineage: Eukaryota; Viridiplantae; Streptophyta; Magnoliopsida; Malpighiales; Euphorbiaceae
Source: RNAcentral
CUGGAUAUAUUCUUUAACAAGUGGCAAGAAGUUUUGUACCACUGGUUAUGCUCAAAUCCGAACUUUGAAGAAGUCACGAAAUGGUAUUUGGGUUGGAAGGAACUUAUUCCACCUGAACUUCAGGCAAAUGAACACAUUCGCUAUCGACUGAAUCUUGCUCUAGAAAUGAUGAACCGGACUGUUGAAGGCUUGGAGGUCGUUCAGCCUGGUUUGAGGGAGAACAUAAGUUAUCUUAGGGUUCUUGAACAAAGGCAAUUUGAGACUCAGAAAAAAGCAGCAGUACAAGCUCAAUCCCGCCCUUCUGUGGGCUCAAACAGUGGUAUCCAAAUGGAUGGUGGGG